RNAcentral lists this unclassified non-coding RNA (353 nucleotides) under soil metagenome. RNAcentral describes it as "partial contains 5.8S ribosomal RNA, internal transcribed spacer 2, and large subunit ribosomal RNA". The stretch from base 1 to 120 matches the Rfam family "5.8S ribosomal RNA", at positions 35 to 154 of the family's 154-position model. The record is from RNAcentral.
GAUGAAGAACGUAGCGAAAUGCGAUAAGUAAUGUGAAUUGCAGAAUUCAGUGAAUCAUCGAAUCUUUGAACGCACAUUGCGCCCGCCAGGAUUCUGGCGGGCAUGCCUGUUCGUGCGUCAUUACAACCCUCAGGCCCCCGGGCCUGGCGUUGGGGAUCGGCGGAAGCCCCCUGCGGGCACAACGCCGUCCCCCAAAUACAGUGGCGGUCCCGCCGCAGCUUCCAUUGCGUAGUAGCUAACACCUCGCAACUGGAGAGCGGCGCGGCCACGCCGUAAAACACCCAACUUCUGAAUGUUGACCUCGAAUCAGGUAGGAAUACCCGCUGAACUUAAGCAUAUCAAUAAGCGGAGGA